RNAcentral lists this ribosomal RNA (260 nucleotides) under uncultured bacterium. RNAcentral's name for it is "partial 16S ribosomal RNA". It matches the Rfam family "Bacterial small subunit ribosomal RNA", at positions 524 to 777 of the family's 1533-position model. The record is from RNAcentral.
CACGUAGGGGGGCGAGCGUUGUCCGGAUUUAUUGGGCGUAAAAGAGCUCGUAGGCGGCUCAGUAAGUCGGGUGUGAAAACUCCAGGCUCAACCUGGAGACGCCACUUGAUACUGCUUUGGCUUGAGUUCGGUAGGGGUAAGCGGGAAUUCCUGGUGUAGCGGUGAAAAUGCGCAGAUAUCAGGAGGAACACCGAUGGCGAAGGCAGCUUACUGGGCCGAUACUGACGCUGAGGAGCGAAAGCGUGGGGGAGCGAACAGGA